Molecule: ribosomal RNA, 683 nt
Filed under: uncultured Lachnospiraceae bacterium
Lineage: Bacteria; Bacillati; Bacillota; Clostridia; Lachnospirales; Lachnospiraceae
Description: bacterial SSU rRNA
Rfam family: Bacterial small subunit ribosomal RNA
Source: RNAcentral
CGGCGCGCCUAACACAUGCAAGUCGAACGGACGUGUUUUCUCUGAGGUUUUCGGAUGGAAGAGAGUUCAGCUUAGUGGCGAACGGGUGAGUAACACGUGAGCAACCUGCCUUUCAGUGGGGGACAACAUUUGGAAACGAAUGCUAAUACCGCAUAAGACCACAGUGUCGCAUGGCACAGGGGUCAAAGGAUUUAUCCGCUGAAAGAUGGGCUCGCGUCCGGUUAGCUAGAUGGUGAGGUAACGGCCCACCAUGGCGACGAUCGGUAGCCGGACUGAGAGGUUGAACGGCCACAUUGGGACUGAGACACGGCCCAGACUCCUACGGGAGGCAGCAGUGGGGAAUAUUGCACAAUGGGGGAAACCCUGAUGCAGCGACGCCGCGUGGAGGAAGAAGGUCUUCGGAUUGUAAACUCCUGUCCCAGGGGACGAUAAUGACGGUACCCUGGGAGGAAGCACCGGCUAACUACGUGCCAGCAGCCGCGGUAAAACGUAGGGUGCAAGCGUUGUCCGGAAUUACUGGGUGUAAAGGGAGCGCAGGCGGAUUGGCAAGUUGGGAGUGAAAUCUAUGGGCUCAACCCAUAAAUUGCUUUCAAAACUGUCAGUCUUGAGUGGUGUAGAGGUAGGCGGAAUUCCCGGUGUAGCGGUGGAAUGCGUAGAUAUCGGGAGGAACACCAGUGGCGAAG